RNAcentral lists this ribosomal RNA (468 nucleotides) under uncultured bacterium. RNAcentral's name for it is "partial 16S ribosomal RNA". It matches the Rfam family "Bacterial small subunit ribosomal RNA", at positions 28 to 507 of the family's 1533-position model. The record is from RNAcentral.
GACGAACGCUGGCGGCGUGCUUAACACAUGCAAGUCGAACGGUGAGGCCCUGCUUUUGUGGGUUGCUGGAGUGGCGAACGGGUGAGUAACACAUGAGUAACCUGCCCAUGACUUUUGGGUAACUUCAUGAAACUGGGGCUAAUACCGGGUAGGAUCUCCUGCUGCAUGGUUGUGGUUGGAAAGUGUCGGCGGUUGGGGAUGGACGCGCGGCUUAUCAUAUGGUUGGUGGGGUGGUGGCUUACCAAGGCUUCGACGGGUAGUCGGCCUGAGAGGGUGACCGGGCACCUUGGGACUGAGAUACGGACGAGACUCCUACGGGAGGCAGCAGUGGGGAAUAUUGCACAAUGGGCGGACGCCGGAUGAAGCAACGCCGCGUGCGGGAUGACGGCCUUCGGGUUGUGAACAGAUUUCGACUGUGACGAUGCGUGAAUGACGGUAAUGGGUAAAGAAGCCACGGCUAACUACGUG